RNAcentral lists this transfer RNA (74 nucleotides) under Actinomycetota bacterium. RNAcentral's name for it is "Actinobacteria bacterium tRNA-Gly". It matches the Rfam family "tRNA". From Rfam's summary of the family: Transfer RNA (tRNA) molecules are approximately 80 nucleotides in length. Their secondary structure includes four short double-helical elements and three loops (D, anti-codon, and T loops). The record is from RNAcentral. Lineage: Bacteria; Bacillati; Actinomycetota.
GCGGGUGUAGCUCAAUGGCAGAGCACUGGCUUCCCAAGCCAGCUACGGGGGUUCGAUUCCCCUCACCCGCUCCA